GAAUCAGGUGUACAAAGGAGCUGAGGGAGAGGGAAGCAAUUGCUGGAAAGGAGCCUGGGAGUAAACGUGGAGGGUUGUUGGCUGUGGGUGGGAGAAGUAUGAAACAGGUUUUUUGUGGGAGGAGGGAGUGUUAUGGAGUUGGGGAGCCUCUCCCAUGCAGACUCUGGCUGACCUCUUAGCCUCUACCAUUCAGUCAGGCACAU
Non-coding RNA from Chelonoidis abingdonii (Abingdon island giant tortoise), 203 nucleotides. The record is from RefSeq and is a predicted model, not a curated record. Lineage: Eukaryota; Metazoa; Chordata; Testudines; Testudinidae.